UAGCCGUAAACGAUACUCGCUAGGUGUCGGCCACGGUGCGACCGUUGUCGGUGCCGUAGGGAAGCCGUGAAGCGAGCCACCUGGGAAGUACGGCCGCAAGGCUGAACUUAAAGGAAUUGGCGGGGGAGCACAACAACGGGUGGAGCUUGCGGUUCAAUUGGAUUCAACGCCGGAAAUCUUACCGGGACCGACAGCAACAUGAAGGCCAAGCUGAAGACUUUGCCGGAUUAGCUGAGAGGAGGUGCAUGGCGUAGUCGUGU
This 260-nucleotide ribosomal RNA is filed under the name uncultured archaeon. Its description in RNAcentral is "partial 16S ribosomal RNA". It matches the Rfam family "Archaeal small subunit ribosomal RNA", at positions 748 to 1009 of the family's 1478-position model. The record is from RNAcentral.